This is a long non-coding RNA of Gambusia affinis (western mosquitofish), 799 nucleotides long. RefSeq lists it as uncharacterized. The record is from RefSeq and is a predicted model, not a curated record. Lineage: Eukaryota; Metazoa; Chordata; Actinopteri; Cyprinodontiformes; Poeciliidae. The transcript is spliced from 2 exons.
CUGCUUCACGGCGACUCACAAGCCACAGUGGAUGCAGCUGCGUAUUAGAGGCGCAUUCUGCAGGAGAUUUAGGAUCACAAUAUUUCUCAGAGGAGACGAUGGCCUUGACUGAACCGAGCAGCUGACUGUUCCGGUCUCAGAACAACAAAAAGCUCCAUCGACGACCAAAACAAGCGGUUCCCAACAGCCAGUUAGUUGGAAAUAUUUCCACAUGUGCAGAAACACCGGGUCCAGAAGGGAGGAAACUGGACCCGACUUGCCUUAGUCACUCAGAGUAGUUUGUAGUUUAAUCAGCUGAGUCACAUUAGCUCGAUUGAUUCCAGCUGGCAGGACAAACUGAGGUUCUGAAACGGGCCUGUACUGAGUCACACCGUCAAACCUACUCUAAUAUUUACAUUGUUUGAGUUUCACUCAUAUCUGAUUAAGUCCUGGAGAAAAAUGACAAAGAAACGGGAACAUGUUGCCAUGUCAACGCUUCCUGUUUCAGACCCGGAAAACGGCUGGAACCAGCAACUCAAACUACCGCACAGGCAGGGAGGUCAGGGGAUGAGGGGAGCUGACUGGCUGAGCCGACUGGGACCACUGAGAGACCUGCAGCAGGUGGGAGGACUCAGGACUGGUUGCCAUGGAGUUCCUGGACGAGUUCUGGGCCUGAGGAAACGACCCGUUUUACCAACAGUGCAACAACAAACAUGAACAGUCUCCAUCAACAACACAGGCGGCCCCAUUUCUGUGUGAUAGAAAAGUAAAAAGCCCGUUUGAACUUGACAUUUUUCUUUAAAAUGAUCCCCAUACACGA